GGUAGACUCUUCCUCCCCACAGGGAGAGGCUGGCGGCUCAGGCCAGCCCGGGGUCUCCGGGGCCAGCAGGGCGGACUGCCUCAUCGCCAGAGGACCGGGUCAGAGCGACAAGUAGGUUUCAGGAGAACUCUCAAGAAGCUGGCCGCUGGCGGAAGAGGAUGCUCCAGGGACUAUGUCCUUAACGCUUUGUCAGCAACAGCUUUGACAGCGAGCAGUGAACCAGCAGCACUGCAAAAGACUUCCCUUUGAUCUGCACGCUUUAUUUUCUCCUCCUGUUACUAGAGCAGUUUAGCCUUCCAUCGGGGGCCGGAGGUGAGCCAGCAGGGGGGCGUGGGAAGCAGAGAGGAGCCACCAGGCCCUCUAGUCCUGGGCGGGCCUCUCUCAGCCCGCAGGCGUCCCACAGCCCGCCGUCCCUCUCCUCCGCCAGGUGAGCUGGGGACGAGGAGCGCCCGGAAACCUCGUCUUAGCGAUGCGGGCGGCGUUUCUCCAGUUGGCGUUUCUGCCGGCUUGGUACCAAAGAAAAGCAGGACCUGGACAGGCACGUGCACAGGGGGAUCCGCGGAGCCGAGCUCGCGUCAAUCUGGGACAGGGUUUCCACCCCAAAGCAGGGCUCCGGGCCUCGGAGAGCUGUGCCCUCCUCUGUCCGCCACCGUGGCAGGUGUGUGCCGCUACCCUGUAACGGGUACGUGCAUUUUAAGGAAAUUUCCCUGAUCUUCCCAGGGAAGUACCAGGCAAAUAGCAGAAUCAGAGUUUGAUGCCAAUAAGGACACACAGAAGCUGACCGGGCAGCUCGGGGCGAACGAGGAGUCAAGGUGUGCUUAGCGGAAAUGGCACAUCCUCAAGAGCUGGGGGCCGACUGACACCAGUGUCACCCCAGUGCCGCGGGACAGCUGAGACCAGAAGAUGAGAUGCAGGGAGAAAACCGCGCUGAGGAAAAUAAGGAGACUUGCCUGUGACCUGCAGCAGCGCCGCGGCUCCUUGAAGGCGCAAGAAGGCAACGCAGAGGGUCCGCUAGAUGGCGCUCCUGCCUUUCCAAACGGUUCUCUCCUGGGGCCCCACGCCUGAUGCUUAGCAGAGGCCGCGCGAACGCCCAAAGUACGGAAGAUUUCCAAAGUGACUUCCCGACUGACGAGCACGGGAGAGACGACGGACUGACACGCCUGAGCUGCGUCCCUCCAGCUCUUAGAGGGGCGAGGACGGUGCUACCACAGCUCCCAUCAGAAUGUCAGACGUGCUCUCCCAAGUGAUAAAAUUUUACGACCCAAAGAGAGAAUUAAAGGAAUUUUUAUUGCAGCAUCAUUUCAAAUAAAAAUUCUGAAGUGACUUGAGUGCCGAGCACCAUGAAAGUGGAUAAAGAAAUGGUGCCAGAAGUUGUACAAGGGGCUCCAGGCGGCAGUUAACACGAGGAUGCUCAGAUUAAGUCCCAUGACCUCGCCGGUUGUGAGCCAUUGUCUCCCUGCGCCAGCCCGUCCCUCCCUCACGCUCUGCUUGGUGACGCUGGGACGGGCGUGCCCUCCGCCGCUGUCCUGCCAGGUCCCCACAGCCUGCACCCUGGCAGCACUUGGUACCACCGCCCGCUGGGCUCGCAGUGGAAGCAAAACAGAUCUAAUCUUUCCUUUAAAAGUUCACAGUCUAGGGAAACGAUCUUUGAUUUAAAAAUCGUACGUAGGAGAGGUACCUGAGCGUAUGAGACAGGACUUAACGUGGACAGGCUGACUACGAGACAGUUCCAAACGCUGAGCCCUCACGCACAUACGCACACAGAUAAACACACACCCAAACACGCGCACACGCAAGCGCUCGGCAUGUGCGCCUCUCCCAUCUGGAACAGCACGUCCACUCCACCUCCUCCGCCGGAAAAGUCGGUUCGCAAUCCAAAGCGAUCAUAGAGAGAUCACAGCAGUGGAGACAGCAGCGCUGUGUGCUGUGUCCUAAAAACCCGCUCUUUUCUGGCGGGGAGCCAGUCAAUGUUUCCAGUGGCAGCAGCCAAGCCCAGACUUCCCUGCAGCCUCAGUGCCUUCAGUAACAGUCACCUGGGCUGAUGAGUGAACUGGUGGUCGGGAAGCUUUCUGGGGACAGAUCCCAUAUGUGCACACACAGAUCCCACCCAACCAGAAACUCGCAGUCAUCAGGGUCAGGGCUCUAUCUGUGAUCCCACUGUGACAGCUGCAUCUCUGGACUCCCUUUUUGGCUGCAUUUUAUUAGUCAACAAACAGAUCAUUAGUCAACUACACAGCAAAGAAAAAGAAAGGCCGGCUCAGCCCAGUCCACUGAUGGAUGUUCAAAUUAGUGGGAGAAACUUUACAGAGAAGCAGGAUAUUUGCAUAGCCUCAGAGUACCUCCUCCAAAUACUUACCCAGUACUGUGAUGCUGGGAACAGAUGUCCACAAAUUCCUUGACAUUCCUCCCUCCCGGAGGUAGAAUUUAAUUCACAGAGGAGAACUGAAGAUGAGACAGAGCAACUGAGCUGCUCGUGGCCCUGAAGGAGCCUCCAGUCCCCGAACUUAGAGCAGAGGCUGGCUGAGGGCAGGGUGUGCUGGGAGUGAGUGAAGGAGGAUGAAGACGCGGGAGGACUGCAGGCGGGGCGUCUGUGGGGGCAGAGCAGGCCGGUGGCUGGCGGGGCACCGCAGGCCCAGGACUCACCGGAGACAGUGAGAAGGCAGGGGACGCAGGGAUGGGGGGCCUCCAACCCACUCCUUCUCUCUCUCUUCUGAUUCAGCACUGAAGGUCAGAGGCUGCCACUUUCCCCCACUCUCUUGAUCCUAAAGCAAGAUUCGGCCCUUCUGAAGUCCUCAGAGGAAAUUUUUUCUCGUUCAUAGAAAUAGGGAAACACAAUUUUAUGUUUGUGUGUGUGUGUGUGUUUCAGCCUAGCCCCACAAGCUUAAAAGCCAGUGGUCAGAUUCAUUGCCACUGCUGAGAAAGCCAAGAGGAAGGCGUGUCUUGCAUUUUUUUUCAUUGAAGUAUAUAGUUAGUUUACAAUGUUGUGUUAAUUUCUGGUGUACAUAAUAUUUAAGUCACACAUAAACAUGCGUAUCUCCCUUUUCAUAUUCUUUUCAUUAUAGUUACGACAAGAUAUUGAGUAUAGUUCCCUGUGCUCUACAGUAGGACGUUGUUGUUUAUCUAUUUUGUAUAUAGUAGUUAGUAUCUGCAAAUCUCAAACUCCCAAUUUAUCCCUUCCAACACCCUACCCCCUGGUAACCAUAAGUUUGUUUUCUAUGUCUAUGAGUCUUUUUCUGUUUUGUAAAUAAGCUCAUUUGUCUCUGUUUUAGAUUCCACAUAUCAGUGAUGUCUUGCAUUUUUAAUGAUGACAAUAAUUACCACCUAUCACUGGGCAGCAGGCAUCAUCCUCAUCUCAAAAAUGGUCCUAAAAGUAUGACAUGUUUUUGUAGAACUGUGAGAAAUAAACAAAGCUGCUAAUA
Molecule: long non-coding RNA, 3419 nt
Organism: Camelus dromedarius (Arabian camel)
Lineage: Eukaryota; Metazoa; Chordata; Mammalia; Artiodactyla; Camelidae
Exons: 2
Source: RefSeq, a predicted model, not a curated record